Octopus sinensis (East Asian common octopus) is the source of this 150-nucleotide long non-coding RNA. RefSeq lists it as uncharacterized. The transcript has 3 exons. NCBI's taxonomy places the organism in Eukaryota, Metazoa, Mollusca, Cephalopoda, Octopoda, Octopodidae. The record is from RefSeq and is a predicted model, not a curated record.
UAAUUAUGCAAUUGAGAGAAAGAAUUUACCGUAAAUCCCCGAGUAUGAUCCGCAUUAUUCCCCCCAAAUUUAAAGGUCAAAAUCCCUAGUGCGUACUAUAUACGAGGUUAAAAUGAUAUUUUCUAAGCAAUGUCCGACUCUCUAUUUGCU